AUUGAACGCUGGCGGCAGGCCUAACACAUGCAAGUCGAGCGGAUGAGCGGAGCUUGCUCCUUGAUUUAGCGGCGGACGGGUGAGUAAUGCCUAGGAAUCUGCCUGGUAGUGGGGGAUAACGUUCCGAAAGGAACGCUAAUACCGCAUACGUCCUACGGGAGAAAGCAGGGGACCUUCGGGCCUUGCGCUAUCAGAUGAGCCUAGGUCGGAUUAGCUAGUUGGUGAGGUAAUGGCUCACCAAGGCGACGAUCCGUAACUGGUCUGAGAGGAUGAUCAGUCACACUGGAACUGAGACACGGUCCAGACUCCUACGGGAGGCAGCAGUAGGGAAUAUUGGACAAUGGGCGAAAGCCUGAUCCAGCCAUGCCGCGUGUGUGAAGAAGGUCUUCGGAUUGUAAAGCACUUUAAGUUGGGAGGAAGGGCAGUAAGCUAAUACCUUGCUGUUUUGACGUUACCGACAGAAUAAGCACCGGCUAACUUCGUG
RNAcentral lists this ribosomal RNA (484 nucleotides) under uncultured bacterium. RNAcentral's name for it is "partial 16S ribosomal RNA". It matches the Rfam family "Bacterial small subunit ribosomal RNA", at positions 30 to 507 of the family's 1533-position model. The record is from RNAcentral.